CACUAGUCAUUCCUCUAGAAAAUCUCCAGCCGCUGCCCUCCAUCUGAUAUUUCUCAGCCGUCGUAUAUCUGUUGGCUAGCGCUCGGCUUCUUUCGCACACGCUCCUGCUGCCGGUACCCAGUCCUACGGCCCCUCCUCUCUCCACCUCGACUCGCCGGCGUUGCUCGGCUGCAGCUCGUCGGAGCUUCCUGUUCUCAGCGCGCCGACCUCCCUCUUCUCCUUCAUGUCCGGCCGCCGGUCUGGCCGAGGACCCUGGUCGUGGGGUCGCGUCCUCCUCCCUCGUCGCGGACCUGCCGUGUCCUGGGCGCCAUUCCAGCACUGCCAGGUUCCGCGCCAUCGUGCCUCUGGGUCCUCGCCGCGGUUCAGGCCGUCGAUGCCUGUUGCCCCGACGCUCCCUCACGCUCCUUUAUCAGCCUCGCCUAGACCUCCGCCUCCUCGUCGGACUGCACACACGCCGCCGCCAUUUCUUGCAGUUUCGUCGCGCCAUCCCCUCUGAUUUCCUUGUCCUCGUCGGCUUAAACUCCGUUGACGUACCCUGCAAGCAGGUUUGACGCCCUCUCAAUUAUUCUGCUCGUUUCACUAACCGAUGCCUGUGCCUUGAGGUUAACUAUGUGUAUGUGUGUAUGUAUCGAGAGAAAAUCUAAAUCAUGUAGAAUAGUGAAGUCCAGUUCGUCGCUCGCCGGUGCUCGAUAUAUUGCCUGAGUCGGAUUUGUCACCAUUUUCGCGAGUCCUGACUCGAUUUAGGUAUUGUGUAAGUUUAGAUUCGCUUGCAGUGAAGUUUAGUUCAAUCAGUUAGUCUUCGAAUAUUUGCGCAAUUAGAAAUAUUUUUUUUCCAUUAGUGAAAUAAAUCACACAAUGGAAGUAAUAAAAUGAAUAAUUUGUUGUAUCUGAUUUUGGGAUUGAAUGGAGUCCAUGGACCACAAUUCACAAGUUGAUCCUUGGCGUGUGCUUUAUGUAGCUAGAACUAUAAUUCACUUGAUGCUUCAUCUUCUCAUACGUAAGGUCUAAAACUCAUAAUCGUCGUCGGUUCCGCUGUAGUCGAGUCGAAUUGAUUAUGAUACUAUUAAAUCUUGGAGUUUCUCGCAGCUAAGCUUAAUUCAGUUUGGGUAUGGAUAGUUAGAUAACUAGUUUAAGUGUACUUAAUCACCUUUCUUUAAUAAAGUAAAUACUAGAUAAUUAAGAAAGAUUGGAUAAUGUUGAGUGAAGUCCAUGGAACGUCGACCUUGGUUAAUCCAUGGCACGCCUGUGAUGUUUGCCUGAAUGCAAGCUAGGAUGAGUUGCUUCUAAAUGAGUAACUCCAUUUUUACUCUAAAUUAGUAUGUUUAUCUAAUCAUCUUGUUAUAUGGUGGACUAGUAAGUACCUUAGGCAAUACUUUAUUAAUCUAUAAUGUACUAUUGGAGCUUAUAAAACUAGUUAAAUUACUCUUAACUUUAAUCUAAGUCUUAGGUGGCUAUCACUGGUGAAUCUAAGUUUUAGUAAUGUCGGGGACCAUAAUUAGGGGUACCCUCAAGACGCCUAAUUCUCAGCUGGUAACCUCCAUCAGCAUAAAGCUGCAAAGGCCUGAUGGGUGCGAUUAAGUCAGGGAUCAGUCCAUACGAGUGACUCGAUCACGCUUCACCCGAGCCUAGCCUCGGACUCGGGCAGCCGACCUCGAGGGACUUCCGUCUCGCCCGAGGCCCCCCUUUUAACGGCGGACACAUCUCCGGCUCGCCCGAGGCCUUGGCUUCGCUAAGAAGCAACCCUGACUAAAUCGCCGCACCGACUGACCGAGUUGCAGGGGCAUUUAACGCAAAGGUGGCCUGACACCUCUAUCCUGACGCACGCCCCCCGGCAGAGCCGAAGUGACCGCCGUCACUCCGCUGCUCCACUGACCGGUCUGACAGAAGGACAGCGCCGCCUGCGCCACUCCGACUGCGGUGCCACUCGACAGAGUGAGUCUGACAGGCAGUCAGGCCUCGCCAGGGGCGCCAUAGCGAACUCCGCUCCGCGCCGACCCCAGGGCUCGGACUCGGGCUAAGACCCGGAAGACGGCGAACUCCGCUCCGCCCGACCCCAGGGCUCGGACUCGGGCUAAGACCCGGAAGACGGCGAACUCCGCUCCGCCCGACCCCAGGGCUCGGACUCGGGCUAAGACCCGGAAGACGGCGAACUCCGCUCCGCCCGACCCCAGGGCUCGGACUCGGGCUAAGACCCGGAAGACGGCGAACUCCGCUCCGCCCGACCCCAGGGCUCGGACUCGGGCUAAGACCCGGAAGACGGCGAACUUUGCUCCGCCCGACCCCAGGGCUCGGACUCGGGCUAAGACCCGAAAGACGGCGAACUCCGCUCCGCCCGACCCCAGGGCUCGGACUCGGGCUCGGCCCCGGAAGACGACGAACUCCGCCUCGCCCGACCCCAGGGCUCGGACUCCGCCCUGGCCUCUGCCGAACGACUUCCGCCUCGCCCGACCCAGGGGCUCGGACUCGGCCUCGGCAACGGAAGACAGAUUCGACCCCAGAUUCGGAGGAGCCCCCACGUCGCCUGGCCUCGGGCGCGGGCCCGCCACGUCAACAGGGAGCGCCAUCACCACUCUACCCCGAGCCGACUCGGGCUGCAGAGAACAAGACCGAUGUCCCAUCUGGCCAGCUCCGCCAGAUAGACAAUGAUGGCGCCUCCCAAGCUCUAUGACGGCGGCGGCUCUCAGCUCUCUUACGGAAGCAGGUGGACGUCAGCAAGGACUCGACCGCUCCGACAGCUGUCCUUCCGCCAAGCUCCGUCGCUCCUCCGACAGCCACGACAUCACACCAGCAGGGUGCCAAGAUCUCUCCGGCUGCCACAUUGGCAUGUACUUAGGGCGCUAGCUCUCCCUCCGCUAGACACGUAGCACUCUGCUACACCCCCAUUGUACACCUGGAUCCUCUCCUUACGACUAUAAAAGGAAGGACCAGGGCCUUCUUAGAGGAGGUUGGCCGCGCGGGACCGAGGACGGGACAGGCGCUCUCUUGGGGCCGCUCGCUUCCCUCACCCGCGUGGACGCUUGUAACCCCCCUACUGCAAGCGCACCCGACCUGGGCGCGGGACGAACGCGAAGGCCGCGGGACUUCCACCUCUCUCACGCCCGUCUCCGGCCACCUCGCCUCUCCCCCCUUCGCGCUCGCCCACGCGCUCGACCCAUCUGGGCUGGGGCACGCAGCACACUCACUCGUCGGCUUAGGGACCCCCCGGUCUCGAAACGCCGACAGUUGGCGCGCCAGGUAGGGGCCUGCUGCGUGUUGACGAACAGCUUCCCGUCAAGCUCCAGAUGGGCAGUCUCCAGCAACCUCUCCGACCCGGGACGGUGCUCCGUUUCGGGAGUCUUGAGUUCAUGUCCUUCGACGGCAGCUACGACAUGAUACUCCUUCCACCGCCGUGCGACAACGACAAUGGCGGCCGACAACCCGCCCGCCGGCAGCGGAAUCGACGACAUCUUCCCCGCGUGGUGGAAGAACAACAUUCGGGCUCGCUCCGUGCUCUCCCCCGCCAACGGAGGAGGAGGCGGGGCAACCAAGGCCAAGCGGGAGGCCGCGCUUCGUCGGCCGUCGAGCGAAUCGACGCCCCCGACGCCCAGACGGAAGGCACGCCAGGCGUCGACCUCGCGUUCGAGACGAAGGCAAGCGCCGUCCCCCCGCGACACGCUGAUCCCGAGCAAGAAGACGACGUCAGCGCGCUCGCGGAAAGCUUGCAGGACGUCGCCCUUGUACCUGAGAUGACGGCGCAACCAGUCCCCGAUGUGACUACGUCGCUCCGCGUCGACCAAAAGGUACUGACUAAUCCCCAUCUUACGUCAUUUCGACUCGGCCUCAACCCGCCUAGCAACCUUGCUUUGGCGGGCGCUCUCAUUGAGGCGAGUGCAACCCCACUGGGGUUUCGUAUGCGGUCGCCUUGGGACCGGUUGACGGACGUCUCAACCUACGGGCCCUCUGGGUCCGAGGAAGAUGACGAUCCCAGCAUCUGUUGGGAUUUCUCUGGACUUGGCAACCCCAGUGCCAUGCGGGACUUCAUGACCGCAUGUAACUACUGCCUCUCCUACUGUUCCGACGGAAGCCGCAGCCUUAACUACGAGGACUGCGGCCCAAGCCGCGAAUGUUUCCACAUCGAGCUAGGGGAUCCCUCCGAAGGAAACCAUCUCGGCAUGCCGGAGGACGGAGAUCUUCCUAGGCCGGUGCCUCGCGCCGACAUCCCGCGGGAGCUAGCUGUGGUCCCCGUUCCGGCGGGGGGUCACGACCCACAACUCGAGCAAGUCCGCGGGGCGCAGGCCAGGCUCAACGAGGGAACAGGAGCGCUUGAGCCGAUCCGUCGGGACGUCGGACAGGUAUGGGCGGGCCAACCCCCGGCCGGAGAAAUACGUCACCUGCCCCAAGGUCUCCAGCACUGCGUCGCCAACGAUGUCAGGGUCAGGCCGCCGCCCGCAUCCAGCGGGGUUGGUCAGAACCUGGCAGCCGCAGCGAUGCUCCUCCGCGCGAUGCCGGAGCCAUCAACUACCGAGGGUCGGCGGAUCCAGGGAGAGCUCAAGAAUCUCCUGGAAGGCGCUGCGGCCCGACGGGCCGAGAGCACUGCCUCCCGAAGGCAGGGAUACCCCUCGGAACCUCAUGCCGCGACUUCCCGAUUCAUGCGGGAAGCCUCGGUCUACAUCGGACGCACGCGCAACACCGCGCCUGCGGCCCCGGGCCACCUCGGCAACGAGCACCAUCGACAUGACCGUCGGGCCCACCUCGACGAAAGGGUGCGCCGAGGCUACCACCCCAGGCGUGGGGGGCGCUACGACAGCGGGGAGGAUCGGAGUCCCUCGCCCGAACCACCCGGUCCGCAGGCCUUCAGUCGGGCCAUCCGACGGGCGCCGUUCCCGACCCGGUUCCGACCCCCGACUACCAUCACAAAGUACUCGGGGGAAACGAGACCGGAACUGUGGCUCGCGGACUACCGCCUGGCCUGCCAACUGGGUGGAACGGACGACGACAACCUCAUCAUCCGAAACCUCCCCCUGUUCCUCUCCGACACUGCUCGCGCCUGGUUGGAGCACCUGCCUCCGGGGCAGAUCUCCAGCUGGGACGACUUGGUCCAAGCCUUCGCCGGCAAUUUCCAGGGCACAUAUGUGCGCCCCGGGAAUUCCUGGGACCUUCGAAGCUGCCGGCAACAGCCAGGAGAGUCGCUCCGGGACUACAUCCGGCGAUUCUCGAAGCAGCGCACCGAGCUGCCCAACAUCACCGACUCGGAUGUCAUCGGCGCGUUCCUUGCCGGCACUACUUGUCGUGACCUGGUGAGCAAGUUGGGUCGCAAAACCCCCACCAGGGCGAGCGAGCUGAUGGACAUCGCUACCAAGUUCGCCUCUGGCCAGGAGGCGGUCGAGGCUAUCUUCCGAAAGGACAAGCAGCCCCAGGGCCGCCCAUCGGAAGAGGCUCCCGAGGCGUCUACUCCGCGCGGCGCCAAGAAGAAGGGCAAGAAGAAGUCGCAAUCGAAACGCGACGCCGCCGACGCGGACCUUGUCGCCGCCGCCGAGUACAAGAACCCUCGGAAGCCCCCCGGAGGUGCAAACCUCUUCGACAAGAUGCUCAAGGAGCCGUGCCCCUAUCAUCAGGGGCCCGUCAAGCACACUCUCGAGGAGUGCGCCAUGCUUCGGCGCCACUUCCACAGGGCCGAGCCACCCGUAGAGGGUGGCAGGGCCCACGACGACGACAAGAAAGAAGAUCACCAAGCAGGAGAAUACCCCGAGGUCCGCGACUGCUUCAUGAUCUACGGUGGGCAUGCGGCGAAUGCCUCGGCUCGGCAUCGCAAGCAAGAGCGCCGGGAGGUCUGCUCGGUGAAGGUGGCGGCGCCAGUCUACCUAGACUGGUCCGACAAGCCCAUCACCUUCGACCAGGCUGACCACCCCGACCACGUGCCGAGCCCGGGGAAAUACCCGCUCGUCGUCGACCCCGUCAUCGGCAACGUCAGGCUCACCAAGGUCCUGAUGGAUGGGGGCAGCUGCCUCAACGUCAUCUACGCCGAGACCCUCAAGCUCCUGCGCGUCGAUCUGUCCUCCAUCCGAGCAGGUGCUGCGCCCUUCCACGGGAUCAUCCCUGGGAAGCGCGUCCAGCCCCUCGGACGACUCGACCUCCCCGUCUGCUUCGGAACGCCCUCCAACUUCCGAAGGGAGACCUUGACGUUCGAGGUGGUCGGGUUCCGAGGAACCUACCACGCGGUACUGGGAAGGCCACGCUACGCGAAGUUCAUGGCCGUCCCCAACUACACCUACCUGAAGCUCAAGAUGCCGGGCCCCAACGGGGUCAUCACCGUCGGUCCCACGUACAAACACGCAUUCGAAUGCGACGUGGAGUGCGUGGAGUACGCCGAGGCCCUCGCCGAGUCCGAGGCCCUCAUCGCCGACCUGGAGAACCUCUCCAAAGAGGUGCCAGAUGUGAAGCGUCAUGCCGGCAACUUCGAGCCAGCGGAGACGGUUAAGGCCGUCCCUCUCGACCCCCGUGGCGACACCUCCAAGCAGAUCCGGAUCGGUUCCGGGCUCGACCCCAAAUAGGAAGCAGUGCUCGUCGACUUUCUCCGCGCAAACGCCGACGUCUUUGCGUGGAGUCCCUCGGACAUGCCUGGCAUACCGAGGGAUGUCGUCGAGCACUCGCUGGAUAUUCGGGCCGGAGCCCGACCCGUCAGACAGCCUCUGCGCCGAUUCGACGAGGAGAAGCGCAGAGCGAUAGGCGAGGAGAUCCACAAGCUAAUGGCAGCAGGGUUCAUCAAAGAGGUAUUCCAUCCCGAAUGGCUUGCCAACCCUGUGCUUGUGAGGAAGAAAGGGGGGAAAUGGCGGAUGUGCGUAGACUACACUGGUCUCAACAAAGCAUGUCCGAAGGUUCCCUACCCUCUGCCUCGCAUCGAUCAAAUCGUGGAUUCCACUGCUGGGUGCGAAACCCUGUCCUUCCUUGAUGCCUACUCAGGGUAUCACCAAAUCCGGAUGAAAGAGUCCGACCAGCUCGCGACUUCUUUCAUCACGCCGUUCGGCAUGUACUGCUAUGUCACCAUGCCGUUCGGUUUGAGGAAUGCGGGCGCGACGUACCAGCGGUGCAUGAACCAUGUGUUCGGCGAACACAUCGGUCGCACAGUCGAGGCCUACGUCGAUGACAUCGUAGUCAAGACAAGGAAGGCUUCCGACCUCCUCUCCGACCUUGAAGUGACAUUUCGAUGUCUCAAGGCGAAAGGAGUCAAGCUCAAUCCUGAGAAGUGUGUCUUCGGGGUGCCCCGAGGCAUGCUCCUGGGGUUCAUCGUCUCCGAGCGAGGCAUCGAAGCCAACCCGGAGAAGAUCGCAGCCAUCACCAGCAUGGGACCCAUCAAGGACUUAAAAGGCGUACAUAGGGUCAUGGGAUGUCUUGCGGCCCUGAGCCGCUUCAUCUCACGCCUCGGCGAAAGAGGUCUGCCUUUGUACCGCCUCUUAAGGAAGGCCGAGUGUUUCGCUUGGACCCCUGAGGCCGAGGAAGCCCUCGGGAACCUGAAGGCGCUCCUUACAAAGGCGCCUGUCUUGGUGCCCCCAGCUGAUGGAGAAGCCCUCUUGGUCUACGUCGCCGCUACCACUCAGGUGGUUAGCGCCGCGAUUGUAGUCGAGAGGCAAGAAGAAGGGCAUGCAUUGCCCGUUUAGAGGCCAGUCUACUUCGUCAGCGAAGUACUGUCCGAGACCAAGAUCCGCUACCCACAAGUUCAGAAGCUGUUGUAUGCUGUGAUCCUGACAAGGCGGAAGUUACGACACUACUUCGAAUCUCAUCCGGUAACUGUGGUGUCAUCCUUCCCCCUGGGGGAGAUCAUCCAGUGCCGAGAAGCCUCGGGCAGGAUCGCAAAGUGGGCGGUGGAAAUCAUGGGCGAAACAAUCUCGUUCGCCCCUCGGAAGGCCAUCAAGUCCCAGGUGUUGGCGGACUUCGUGGCCGAAUGGGUCAACACCCAGCUACCGACGGCUCCGAUCCAACCGGAGCUCUGGACCAUGUUUUUCGACGGGUCGCUGAUGAAGACGGGAGCCGGCGCGGGCCUGCUCUUCAUCUCGCCCCUUGGGAAGCACCUACGCUACGUGCUCCGCCUCCAUUUCCCGGCGUCCAACAAUGUGGCCGAGUACGAGGCUCUGGUCAACGGGUUGCGGAUCGCCAUCGAGCUAGGGGUCAGACGCCUCGACGCCCGCGGUGACUCGCAGCUCGUCAUCGACCAAGUCAUGAAGAACUCCCACUGCCGCGACCCGAAGAUGGAGGCCUACUGCGAUGAGGUUCGGCGCCUGGAAGACAAGUUCUUCGGGCUCGAGCUCAACCACAUCGCUCGGCGCUACAACGAGACUGCAGACGAGCUGGCUAAAAUAGCCUCGGGGCGAACGACGGUCCCCCCGGACGUCUUCUCCCGGGAUCUGCAUCAACCUUCCGUCAAGAUCGACGACGCUCCCGAGCCCGAGGCACCCUCGGCACAGCCCGAGGUACCCUCGGCACAGCCCGAGGCACCCUCGGCACAACCCGAGGUACCCUCGGCCCCCGAGGGCGAGGCGCUGCACGUCGAGGAAGAGCAGAGCGGGGCCACGCCUGAUUGAAAUUGGCAGGCCCCGUACCUGCGAUAUCUCCGCCAGGGAGAGCUACCCCUCGACCAAGCCGAGGCUCGGCAGGUAGCUCGACGCGCCAAGUCGUUCGUCUUGCUGGGCGAUGAGGGGGAGCUCUACCACCGCAGCCCCUCGGGCGUCCUCCAGCGAUGCAUCUCCAUCGCCGAAGGUCAGGAACUCCUGCAAGAAAUACACUCGGGGGCUUGCGGCCAUCAUGCAGCACCCCGAGCCCUUGUCGGGAAUGCUUUCCGGCAAGGCUUCUACUGGCCAACGGCGGUGGCUGACGCCACUAGAAUUGUCCGCACCUGCGAAGGGUGCCAAUUCUAUGCGAAGCAGACCCGCCUGCCCGCUCAGGCUCUGCAGACGAUACCCAUCACCUGGCCCUUUGCUGUAUGGGGUCUGGACCUCGUCGGUCCCUUGCAGAAGGCGCCCGGGGGCUACACGCACCUGCUGGUCGCCAUCGACAAAUUCUCCAAGUGGAUCGAGGUCCGACCCCUGAACAGCAUCAGGUCCGAGCAGGCGGUGGCGUUCUUCACCAACAUCAUCCAUCGCUUCGGGGUCCCAAACUCCAUCAUCACCGACAACGGUACCCAGUUCACCGGCAAAAAAUUCUUGGAUUUUUGCGAAGAUCACCACAUCCGGGUGGACUGGGCCGCCGUGGCUCAUCCCAUGUCGAAUGGGCAAGUGGAGCGUGCCAACGUCAUGAUUCUGCAAGGGCUCAAGCCCCGGAUCUACAACGGCCUCAACAAGUUCGGCAAGCGAUGGAUGAAGGAACUCCCCUCGGUGGUCUGGAGCCUGAGGACAACGCCAAGCCGGGCCACGGGUUUCACGCCGUUCUUCCUGGUCUAUGGGGCCGAGGCCAUCUUGCCCACUGACCUGGAAUACGGCUCCCCGAGGGCGAGGGCCUACAAACGAACAAAGCAACCAAGCUAGCCGAGAAGACUCGCUGGACCAGCUGGAGGAGGCUCGGGACAAGGCCUUACUACACUCGGCGCGGUACCAGCAGUCCCUGCGAUGCUACCACGCCCGAGGGGUCCGGUCCCGAGACCUCCAGGUGGGCGAUCUGGUGCUUCGGCUGCGGCAAGACGCCCGAGGGAGGCACAAGCUCACGCCCCCCUGGGAGGGGCCAUUCGUCAUCGCCAAAAUCCUGAAGCCCGGAACAUACAAGCUGGCCAAUAAUCAAGGCGAGAUCUACGGCAACGCCUGGAACAUCAAACAGCUACGUCGCUUCUACCCUUAAGAUGCUUUCAAGUUGUUCGUAUACUUCGCACCCAUGCAAAGUUUAGUCAUCAAGGAAGGGUCGGCCUCGCCUCGGCAGAGCCCGACCCUCCCUCGGGGGCUAAAAGGGGGGAGACCCCCUCUGCGUCAAAUUUUUCCCUCGAAAAAAGAUCUCUUUUUAGCAGAAUUUCUUUCGUGCUUUUUGACUACUUCGAAAAGCGGAUCCUGGAAACGACGGAGUACACGAAAGCAGCCAAGGCUGACCGAGCCGAGGGACUCCUACGCCUCCGGGAUACGGAUACCUCACUCAUCACCUUCUGCGAUAAGUAACUCGUGUUCGGAUAAAGCGACUCCGUGGACCGAACAAGUCUUCACGUUCGGAAGCUCUUCUGCCAAAGUGGUCCUUCAAGCUUUCUCGACUAAGUCGGAGACAGGGCCUCAUGGACGGGCGAAGGUACGCGUAAGCGGCAAGGCUGACCGAGCCGAGGGACUCCUACGCCUUCGGGAUACGGAUACCUCACUCAUCACCUUCCGCGAGAAGCAACUCUCGCCCGCACAAACAUCCCUGUUACCGACGGAAAGUCCAGAUGCUCGGAAUAAGGGGAAAGGAGACGCAGCUUUGCAAGCGCAGCGAGGGUGUGUUUUCUGGCCUCAGCGGCCGCAGAAGGCACACGCUACAAGACGAUCUGAUCCUGCAGGCUCAGGUCUUCACGCUGAAGGGGGCCGUAGCACCCUCGGCGUCGACGACGUCUUCAGCAAGGUCUGACCCAGCCUCGGACGGCGGCGCGGUCCAGGGACUUCUCCGGGAAUCCGGCCCGAGCAGGCGGCUCGGCCGGCUACCCCCGGGGCCUCGGCCAACCAUCUUCCAAGGGCGCUAGCCCGACCCGAGGCCUCGGCUGAUCGACUCCGGCGUCAGAUCCGCUGACGGACAACCCGGCUAGGCUCCGGCCAACCAGGUUCCCAUUUUCGAGCCAACUCCGCCUCUGUUCGUACUGAUAUCGCUACCCCUGGCCUCGGCUCGUCGAAGAGCGGCCGAGGGGUCUCUUUAACUAAGCUAGAGGAGCCUCAGACAACAAGGCCGAUCGAGCCGAGGGAUUACUACGCCUCCGGGAUACGGAUACCUCACUCGUCACCUUGACACGGGGCGACUCAUGCUUGGUGAAGCGGUACAGAUAAUCAACAGGCGAGACUUAGUGCUCGAAAAUGAGGAAAAAACACGGCUCCGUGCCGAAAUUACAUACAUGUUCAGGCCUCGACAGCCACAAUGAACAUAAAACACUGGCAUUCAAGGUGCCAUCACAAACGGAACUCCGGUUCCGUCCCCGCGGGUACGAGCGACCUCGGGCCUGUGGGGGACGAACAUCGGGAGGCUCGCCAGCGACCUCUGCAACAGCAGCCAUGGUCCCGGGUGGACGCGGCCACCGGAGGGCUCUUGUUCGUGAUCCCGCUCAAGGGACGCGAACAAGCCAUCAAAGCCAAAGAGCGGGCCGCUCCUAAGCGCUCCGGCAGAUCCUCGCUGCCGUCCUCGCCGCGAACGCGAGGGAAAGGGCGGAAUGUUGCAUCCUAGCUGGACAGCAACAGUUCGCCUUCCCCGGCAUGACUGGAGGACGCCUCCGUCGCAGCGCGGGAGGACGAUUGCCACCACCAGAAGCUGGAAGAGGAGGUGGUUCGCCAACCCGCUCAGGAGGUAGAGCCCCGGCUCGCCUCGCUCCCCGCCCCAGCGAGGAUGACGAACACGCCCGAUGCUGGGGACGGGAUCACAGCCUGGUUUGCCUCUCCCCAUCCAGGAGCUGGAGGUCACCGUCUAGGGUGACCACCGGCGGAGGGGAGCAACCAGGCUGUGUGAUGAAAAUCCUUGAAGCCGAACGAUGGCUGAAAGGUACCAACUCCCAUGGAGUUGCGUUCCUCCAACGAGAAGGCGGAAAGACGGUGGGUACCCCCCAUCCGGGGGCUUGGAAGAUGGAAAGACACGACGCAUGAGGGAGGAAGAAGAUGUGGUUGCCUUUCGAAAGGGGUCGCCCUCCUUUUAAAGGCAACUCUCCCUACGUGCGCCCCCAAACGCCGCGGGCUGAGUCUUCUCCAACACGCUCCAAGGCCCACCCCUGCGACUCGGGGGCUGGGUCCCGCAUGUCAUGCAGACCGGCUCCGAGCAGAAGAAGCCAAACCGCCGCGCGUGGUGCGCACAACCGCCCAGCGGUUACAAGCGACCCCCACUUUUGCCCAGACCAACGGGCGGGAGGGGCGAGUAGCCAUGCAGGCGGCAUGCAACCGCGCCAGGUGGACGCGCUUCUCCGACUUCUGACACGCCAGCUUGGAGGCUCAGGCCCACGCGUCACGCAACCAGCGCGCCAGUUGCUGCAUGCAAGCAACCGCGCCACCACUUGUGCCACCGUCGCGCCUCUUCGGUUGCGGAGCCUAUGCCGCGACUCGAGGCGACCCAGCGCACGACCCAGCGGCGCCAGCCUGGCGCGACGGUCAAUGCGGCCGAAAGUGGGCCGGCAGUAAUGACGGUGGCAGGCGGACGGGAGCAGCAGUCACGUCGUCAGCCAGGCUCACGUCCCAUCCAGGGACAGCAAGAGAGCCUCCUCCCACGGCGUGAAGACGGUGCGCCCGUGAUCCGUUCCUCGAACGGCUCGCGCACGCGCAACGGCCGCCCCGCCAACCACUCGCCCCGUCGCAUUAACUCCGCGGCAGAUAGGGCGGCGCUUCUGGCAGGAGAAGCGGACGACGCUUCGCCUUCGCCGUAAUAACCGCGCCAAAAAAGGUACGCCACGUCGUUCGAUUUCGUAUCCUUUUCCUUUUUUUCCUCUUUCUCUAUCUCUUACAACAGGGACCGGGAAAGGGGGAUACCCCGAAAAGGAUCCUUCCCUGUGAAGGAACCGGGCUCCGAGCCCCCCUACUGAUCAGAGGUUCGAAGGCUGGCCCUCCGAAGGGUUCAACAGUCGCCUCAGAUCGCGUGGGCCCGACACCCACUACUGGUCAGGGGUUCGAAGGCCGGCCCCCCGAAGGGCUCCACGGCCGCCUCAGGCUACUCGGGCUCCGCACCCAUUACUGAUCAGAGGUUCGAAGGCUGGCCCCCGAAGGGUUCACAGGCGCCUCAGACGCCGAGCGAGGGAUGACCAGGGGUACGUUCGAUACAUAACCGAGGCUCGGGCUGCGCUCCCGAGGUACCCUAGGACAUUUCCGAGACCAGCGGGAGCGAUCUUGUAACGGAAUCCCAUCGGAGGGAGGCAUCGAGCCCUCGGACCCCGUCGCCAGGGGACCGGGUCCAGCAGAUCACCCGCAGGUACUUUUGGGCGUGCCUCUGGGCCCCUAGCCGACCCCCAACGAACGGGGCACGGACGUCCACUCGGAUUACCCGCUUGCAGCUCACCGGAGACACCAUGUUCGGUGCCCAUCGAGGGUAACAUGGCGCACUCCCCCCUCCUCCUUGCGGAAAGGUGACGUAGGGGCGUAUGCAAAAAGUCGAGUCUGUCCCUGAUCGUCCUCUCGCCCUGUGCGGAGGCUCGGGGGCUGCUCUCGCAAACCCGGCUCCGGCCGAACCGUUGACAGCGUCAACAUACCAGCCCGAGAACUUGGGCCCCGACCGUGCACCCGGGCUACGGCCAGUUCGCAUGAGGGAACGACCAGACCAGCCGAAGCGUUACGCAAGGCAUUAAGACCUCGAAGGAGUGAAACCACUCCUCCGAGGCCUCGGGGGCUACACCCAGCGGGUGCGCUCGUGCGCACCCACCGGAAUGAAAUGCAACCGAGGAAGGCUGGUCCCCUUGCAAAAAGUGCGACGAAAGCCUCCAAGCGAGUGCUAACACUCCCUUCGAGGCUCAGGGGCUACUAUCGGGGACCAUAAUUAGGGGUACCCUCAAGACGCCUAAUUCUCAGCUCGUAACCCCCAUCAGCAUAAAGCUGCAAAGGCCUGAUGGGUGCGAUUAAGUCAGGGAUCAGUCCAUACGAGUGACUCGAUCACGCUUCACCCGAGCCUAGCCUCGGACUCGGGCAGCCGACCUCGAGGGACUUCCGUCUCGCCCGAGGCCCCCCUUUUAACGGCGGACACAUCUCCGGCUCGCCCGAGGCCUUGGCUUCACUAAGAAGCAACCCUGACUAAAUCGCCGCACCGACUGACCGAGUUGCAGGGGCAUUUAACGCAAAGGUGGCCUGACACCUCUAUCCUGACGCACGCCCCCCGGCAGAGCCGAAGUGACCGCCGUCACUCCGCUGCUCCACUGACCGGUCUGACAGAAGGACAGCGCCGCCUGCGCCACUCCGACUGCGGUGCCACUCGACAGAGUGAGUCUGACAGGCAGUCAGGCCUCGCCAGGGGCGCCAUAGCGAACUCCGCUCCGCCCGACCCCAGGGCUCGGACUCGGGCUAAGACCCGGAAGACGGCGAACUCCGCUCCGCCCGACCCCAGGGCUCGGACUCGGGCUAAGACCCGGAAGACGGCGAACUCCGCUCCGCCCGACCCCAGGGCUCGGACUCGGGCUAAGACCCGAAAGACGGCGAACUCCGCUCCGCCCAACCCCAGGGCUCGGACUCGGGCUAAGACCCGGAAGACGGCGAACUCCGCUCCGCCCGACCCCAGGGCUCGGACUCUGGCUAAGACCUGGAAGACGGCGAACUCCGCUCCGCCCGACCCCAGGGCUCGGACUCGGGCUAAGACCCGGAAGACGGCGAACUCUGCUCCGCCCGACCCCAGGGCUCGGACUCGGGCUAAGACCCGGAAGACGGCGAACUCCGCUCCGCCCGACCCCAGGGCUCGGACUCGGGCUCGGCCCCGGAAGACGACGAACUCCGCCUCGCCCGACCCCAGGGCUCGGACUCCGCCCUGGCCUCUGCCGAACGACUUCCGCCUCGCCCGACCCAGGGGCUCGGACUCGGCCUCGGCAACGGAAGACAGAUUCGACCCCAGAUUCGGAGGAGCCCCCACGUCGCCUGGCCUCGGGCGCGGGCCCGCCACGUCAACAGGGAGCGCCAUCACCACUCUACCCCGAGCCGACUCGGGCUGCAGAGAACAAGACCGGUGUCCCAUCUGGCCAGCUCCACCAGAUAGACAAUGAUGGCGCCUCCCAAGCUCUAUGACGGCGGCGGCUCUCAGCUCUCUUACGGAAGCAGGUGGACGUCAGCAAGGACUCGACCGCUCCGACAGCUGUCCUUCCGCCAAGCUCCGUCGCUCCUCCGACAGCCACGACAUCACACCAGCAGGGUGCCAAGAUCUCUCCGGCUGCCACAUUGGCAUGUACUUAGGGCGCUAGCUCUCCCUCCGCUAGACACGUAGCACUCUGCUACACCCCCAUUGUACACCUGGAUCCUCUCCUUACGACUAUAAAAGGAAGGACCAGGGCCUUCUUAGAGGAGGUUGGCCGCGCGGGACCGAGGACGGGACAGGCGCUCUCUUGGGGCCGCUCGCUUCCCUCACCCGCGUGGACGCUUGUAACCCCCCUACUGCAAGCGCACCCGACCUGGGCGCGGGACGAACACGAAGGCCGCGGGACUUCCACCUCUCUCACGCCCGUCUCCGGCCACCUCGCCUCUCCCCCCUUCGCGCUCGCCCACGCGCUCGACCCAUCUGGGCUGGGGCACGCAACACACUCACUCGUCGGCUUAGGGACCCCCCGGUCUCGAAACACCGACAAGUAAUUUCUUGGGAUGUACUGCCUUCAUGGUGCUUGUGCAAGACCUUAUUGAAUUAGAAAGUUAGUUAAAUGUGUUCUAUCACCUUUGCCAAGUUUUGAGUGUUAAAAAGUGACAGGUCUAAGUGUAGUAACCUAUCGAUGUUAUGCUUUAGCUUAAGGCUAAUUGUGUUAAAUGUGUUGUUUCUUGAUGUUGCGUUGGUUCAUUUAAUUUAGAGAACCGUAAUUAUUGUGUUUAAUCGUAUGUCGAUAACUAGUGUCUUCGUAGAAAGGGGUACGACGCUUCGCCGCUAGGUGUUUAAUUCGAUAUCGCAUAACACUAUUUAGGUUUGUAAUAUUCCUGUUUAUAUGCACUCAUGUGCAUCAUGCAUCUCAAUUAGGUACGAUAAUUGAUCGCGUGAUGCGGAAGACGAACCAAGUCGACCCCAAGCGCGGGCUACUCCGCAUGGAGAUGCUGAUGCACGAAUCUGCCUGAUCAAGUGCUAGGACAAGGAUGAUCGUCAAGUGGACGUCACCUAACAACACUAACCUAGUGUUACCCAGGCAAGCCCCGGUGCAUUUGCCACCUCCUUGUUGUUUUAAAACUUUUAUCACUUAUAUGCUGCAAUAGGUGAUAGGAGUUGAGUGAAGAAACAAUUGAUGCAUUGCCAUUCCUUGGAAUUCGAUUACUAUUCCUUGAUACCUGUUUUAUAAAGAGAACUAAUGAGGCUUAGCCCUGCUUAGAAACUAAAAGUUGUUUCUUUUAAAAAGAAUGUUGUGCAACACUGGAUAUGGGUUUUAUGAAAAAGGAACUUGUAAUAAUGAAGGCAUCACUCGCGAUGAUGAAUUCAUUAUUCGAGUAUUGUACCUCUGUCAGGUACAUGGUUUGGGUGUUAAAUAAUAAGAUGAGACCAGACGUUGAGCAGGAAAGGUCGCCCGUCUGUGUCGAUUAAGGACCGUUCCGAUUGUUGGCCUGCUGAUCUAGGACCCUUUAACUGGCCACAUGCCUCAUCAUGGGUAAGCUUAGCCUCGGCUGGACCAAUACCAGAAAGGCCGGCCCGCAAUGGGAGUGGAGAGAUGGCGAGAGUAUCGUGUAUCCACCUGGCAAGAGGCUGGAUGGUGGGGUACUGAGCUCUCGGUUGGCGGGGACCCGUUCUGGUCUUGAGAAACCCGGUGGCGAGUUGACAUAUGCAAGGGUUAAGUGCUACAUAUGUCGUGUGGUUGGAGAUCCCCAGCUGGGUAUUAAUCGAUUCGGAUCGCCGAACUUCUCGGAUAUGAAGACUGGAUCUUCGACCCUCAUCGUAGAUAACAAGUGAAACUAAAGCUGCUAAAAUGAAGCUAGUGUAGGACAAGUGAAUGCUCUAGAUUAGGCAAAUCUAGAUUCAGGAAAAGUACUUAAUCUGUGAAGUAAAACUUUGGCAUAAGGAUCCACUACUAGUAAGCUUUUCUGCAAAAACGAGUCUUUGAAAUUUGAUGAGCUUUAUCUUGAUUCCCAACAAACCAGCAUACCCUUGAGAGUCUUUUCUUUAGUCGGGUAAGUCUUGCUGAGUAAUUGCAUACUCAGGGUUUUAUUCCCUGUUGUUUUUCAGGUUAUAAUUUUGUUCUGUUGUGGAUGGUGCUAAGUGCCGGUGGGCUCGGCCUUCUUAUAUAAGUAUAUCCCAUCUUUAGCUUCUUUAUUGAGGAUUGUCACUUAAGCUAGCAUGUAUUUUAAAAACUUAUAAAUAUUUUAUACAUUUUAAAGUGUAAUUCUGUUGAAUCAUUUUCUUUUGUAAUCACUCCAAUAAUUGUAUAAUGUAAACUUAUUGUAACAUGUAAUUAUUUUGCAAUAAAGAAUUUAUUUCCGCUGCAAAUAUUGGUGUGUGAUUUGUGUUUACUUAAUCUUGCGAUCUUGGCGGUAAGUCGUUUAUCCGGGGUCCUCGGGGCACUCGGACAGAUCCUGUUAAGAUGUUUGGUGCACACGCAUAGCUGUCUGAGGUUUUUGAGACGAGGACAGAUGCGUGUGGGCCCGAUAACUUGGGAGGUUCUGCGACAGCUGGUAUCGGAGCUGGAUUAAGUAUAUACGGUCACAUACAUAUUUUCAAAAUAAAAGUUUUGGUUUUGAAAAACCUAUUUUCAACUAAACACAUUGUUUGGCUUUGAAAAACUAUAAUGCUAGCGACAUCCUCUAUUAAGCCCUAAAUUAAGGACUACCUGGUGGCUUAGUUGAAAACCAUAACCGGGUGGAUAUUGCAUACAUGUGUAUUGUUAUUUUUGAAAGCCAUUCAGUCUUGAAUGGAUCGACGCUCAAGGUAAGGUGAGAUGUGAGAGCAUGACCGAACAACCGUCGGUCUAGGGAAGUGCUUAAUUGUGGCGCUUGAUUAUAUACAUGUUUUACAUAUGUAUAUAUGAAGGCUGCGAUGUGGAGUAUUUACUUUUCGGGAAUUCAGUACCCCAUUGAUGUGUAUGGGUAUACAGACAUGGGAAUACUGAGAAGUGUAAUGUACUUGUAACGACGCACCUACGCUCAGGUAAGAAGGUGAGUUACCAUAAUGAGCUGCCCUAUGGUUAAAGUGUGGCAGCGGCGCCUAUGCGUGGCUCGGCGCUUAAUGAUGAGCUGACCUCCAUAUAGCAAUAUAUGGAGUAUAAACUGUGAUACACUGUCAUAUGUGACUUGCAUCAUUGGGAAUUGGGCUGUAAUGGAUUUUCUGCAGGUACACUAACCUCGAAAACGUAUGUGUAGCUGACGACUAGAAAAAUACCGUGAGAGAACGUAUGCCACCGAUAUAGAACGUUAUUUCCACAAUAUGUUGGCAAAAUUAGUGAGGACGAAUAGGACGAGCAUGCAUCCUGAUUGUUGCAUCAUGUUUGUCACCUAUACACCCAAAAUGCUUCUCUCAUCCUUAUUCCAGAAACCAGUGAUUGUAGAUAAUCUGGUGUAAUGUUGAAUUAUGAACUUCGAUGAAAUAGCUGCCCUCCAUUCUUUAGGUAAUCUGUUUAGGUGUUAUAUGUAUUUUGCCCUAGUGCUUGAUGUGUCGAUAGAAGGUUAGUGACUUGUUUGCCUAAACCCAAAUCUAGGCCAUGUUCUUAGUUGGUGAAACAUGACCAAAGUUGAUUUUUCCGUUACCCCUCCUUGACCCAAACUUAUACAAAUAAAUGUUUAGGUAAUUUCUUCGUUGGACAAAAAGGGUACUUAAGCUUAAAACAAGAAUCUCGAGUCAUGUCUCAUUCCAAAACCAUUCCCUUGUUUGGUUGGUGCAAGCUGAUGUUUCUAUUCCACUUUGCCUCUUCUGGAGGAUCACAUUGUUGCUUUACCAACCCAGUCUAGGAAAGACCUAUUCAGUCGUUUUCUUGAAUUUGGUGCCUUUGAUUUUUCUCAUAUCUAUCGAAGGCAUACCAACUUAAUCUUGUGAUUGUUUUUCCUCCGUAUCUAAUCAGAUACUAAUUCUUGACUUGUAUUGUUGCGAUGGGCAUAGAAAUAUGCUUGGGGCUGAAUUAACAGUCUCCCACCGUACUCCCUUCAUCAACCAAUUUUUGGUUUUGGCCAUAUCGUGUUCACUUCAUCGGGCCAUAAUCUAUUUGGUUCUCUACUUGUAACUGUUCUUAACAAGUGGAGUAUCUCUUUGUAUAUUGUCACCCUUGCUCAAUCUAUUGGUGUCGCGCGAGAUUUCUUAUUGGUUACGUCUAGUAAUGGUGUUGUGACUAAAAUCGAUGGUGCCGCGAUGAAACCGAGGGCCUCCUGUGGACGAUCGACACACGGUUGUGCUGCCCGGCACACGCUGGUAUCACGAUUAGUAGUUGUGAUCCAUUAUGAGACUAUAUCAAUGGGUUAUCUUGGCACAAUCUAUUUCUGCUACAUAAGAUUCAUUAUUGGUGCUAGUUCGAUGAUGGUGUCCUAGUCAAUAACUUAGGGUGCCGCGUAAAUCUGAAAGUCUCAUGUGGCGGCCGACACAUGGUAGUACUAUUCGGUACGCUAGUAUCGAAGUUCUUGGCUAUGAUCCAUUAUGGAACCACACUAACAUGCUAUCUUCCGUAGAUCUCUUCCUUGAAACGAUUUCGGUGUUGUUUGUCAAGUGAUCAAGCAACAUCUAUCAUCUCUAUUGGAUCAAAAGGACAUACCACUUCCAUGUGUGGUCUCUUUUUCCUUGACUUUGGUAGUGACUACAUACAUACAAGUUCCCUUUACAUCCUUUGUGUAAAGGUGAAGCUUUGAAGCUUUUUAGUGUUGGAAAACAACUGAUUAGCUCUUGAAAUGGAGAUUGACUUUUCCUGCUGCUGAGAUGCAGGAGUUUGUUCAUUCGCUCACUUAUUUAAUCCAUGUAUUCCUGGACCAAGUCGGUUUAUCUUGCAUAAAGAAACGGAUGAACAAUUUGACCAAAUAGAUUUUUACCCAAAUACAUAAUCUCUUGUUAACAAAGAGAGCUCUCAACCGUUGGCUUACCAAUGGUACUGAGAGGACUUACUCAAUGUCAACCGUAGUUCAACAAGUUGGUUUUACUAACUUGUAACUGCAUUGGGAACAACGGUUCGGAGAUCGUUUUGUCGAGUUGUCUAAACUCACUUUGGUUCAAUCCAUCCUAGGAAGGUACUUGUAAGAAUCAAGUCAAGUUGGCCAGUAACCACCUAGCCAUCGCUCCAGCCAUGCCUCGAUCGCCUCACGCGUGCUUUUCUAGCAUGUGUGAUCAUGUCGAACCAUGCCUAGUGCUUGAUAAAAUGGAUUGGUUGCAAAGUCAACAUCAACGGAUCUCUUCGUUGAUAUUUUCCCGAGUCCUUAUCAUUUUUCUUGGACUUGGAUUCACUGGCUAACACGAGUUAACUGGGAUGUUAUUCGACAUUCACACCUGUCUCGGGUGCUAUGAACUUACCAUGACCACUUGUUGGUAAACCUCCUUCGGUGUGUUUUACCCAAGAUGGUGCAUCUGAUUCUAUUUGGGGUAAAGUCGCAUAUCUACUGCUCGCCCAACAGACUCAGAUAGUACAGUUCAUCAGAAAAAGCAAACUGCACACAUGGAACCUUAUAUGUUCCCCUGGCAGACAUCGUCUCUAUUGGUGGACAUUUCUAAAUUAGCCUAAGGCAAUAUAUGUUAUGUCCACGAGAGAAACCACAUUCUGAGACACUCGCCUUUGCUCAGAACUGUCUUACGAUUAUCGCUGAUAUGGACAUGGGUUACAUGCUACUCUACUCUUAGAAGUCUUUCGCUCCGAAUCUCGGACGAGAUUCUUUUAAGGGGGGAGGGCUGUAACACCCCAGGUGUUUAUAUUCCGCUCGACAACGAGUACGAAUUUAAGCACGAAAUAUCAGUGGAUAAACCAGAUUUUAAAUUUUAAUCAUCUUCGGUUAUUGCAAUUUUAAUAUCGCAUAUGUUUCGCCUAUCGCGAGUUCAACUUUGUUCGUCCGGGCUCGUCCUAAAUUUUCGUGCUGUUCGGAACAUAUUUGUUCUGAAAAUCGGUGCGUCCGGUGAAUAUUUAAAAUUCAUCGCUCGCGCGAAUCCGAAUUCGGAAGCCCGAACCCCUAGGAUGAUUUUUAGCCUGGGCGAAUUAAAUAGAACUCGACGACUAAGUUUUCAAUGCAAAAUAAUUUAAUCUCUUUUUUGUCAUCCGUGACAUCGUGUCUACGGAUUUUUAAUUAAAUUGCUCUCUAACCGAGUGUUCGAGUAGCGAACGGAAUUCGUCUAAAAUCAACUGAAUCAGAUGCAGAUUUAAAUAACAAAGCCGAAAUCCGUUUAAUUCGUUCUGUUUGCAUCAUAUCCGAACCCGAUAUUAUCGGAGACAAAGAGAUUAACGUUUGAUUUUAUAGCAGAUGAUACUGGGUCCGAAAGAAUACUCUGGAUCGCUUGCGUUACCAUGAAACCAUGCACAAGCUUAAUAAUUGGGAUUAUUCUUUAGUGUGCUAUUCUAGGCAGAGAAAUCAAACGGGUUCGAAAAACAGAUAAAUUUUUAUCCGGGUUCAACUAAAUUAAUAGCAUCUCAAGUACUAUAUUUUGAUAGUGUUUCGACCCGUAUGUUUAUCGCCUUGAUCCAAAUCUUUAAAUAUAAAUAACGGCUAAAAAUUCAUCUGACUUUAGUAUCCAUCUAAUCAAAGAAUGUCUAAAUAUUAUCGUUGGCCUCAUUUAGAUCUGACCCAUUUAUACAUUUUCUAAAUCCAAAUUUUAGAACCUAGAUUUAACCUUGUUCUUUUCUUUAAAAUGAUACGAGAGAGGAAAGAAUUUUUUUUUUACAAAAAAAACUUUAUCAUAUCCUAGCGCCGCUUCCUUUAUCUGUUCUUAUCUUUGAGUCGUUGUCAUCCAUUCUUAUCCUCCGUAUAAUCUCCUCUUCAUCCUAAAAUCAGCAAUUCACUAGAGUCCCUAGGAUAUUUCUCCCUGAACGUGCACAACGUCCUAGAGGCUCUAUCACGUCAUCUUCUAGCUUCCAUAUGAUUCCUCUCCACUAGUCAUUCCUCUAGAAAAUCUCCAGCCGCUGCCCUCCAUCUGAUAUUUCGUAUAUCUGCUGGCUAGCGCUCGGCUUCUUUCGCACACGCUCCUGCUGCCGGUACCCAGUCCUACGGCCCCUCCUCUCUCCACCUCGACUCGCCGGCGUUGCUCGGCUGCAGCUCGUCGGAGCUUCCUGUUCUCAGCGCGCCGACCUCCCUCUUCUCCUUCAUGUCCGGCCGCCGGUCUGGCCGAGGACCCUGGUCGUGGGGUCGCGUCCUCCUCCCUCGUCGCGGACCUGCCGUGUCCUGGGCGCCAUUCCAGCACUGCCAGGUUCCGCGCCAUCGUGCCUCUGGGUCCUCGCCGCGGUUCAGGCCGUCGAUGCCUGUUGCCCCGACGCUCCCUCACGCUCCUUUAUCAGCCUCGCCUAGACCUCCGCCUCCUCGUCGGACUGCACACACGCCGCCGCCAUUUCUUGCAGUUUCGUCGCGCCAUCCCCUCUGAUUUCCUUGUUCUCGUCGGCUUAAACUCCGUUGACGUACCCUGCAAGCAGGUUUGACGCCCUCUCAAUUAUUCUGCUCGUUUCACUAACCGAUGCCUGUGCCUUGAGGUUAACUAUGUGUAUGUGUGUAUGUAUCGAGAGAAAAUCCUAGAUGUUAAAUCAUGUAGAAUAGUGAAGUCCAGUUCGUCGCUCGCCAGGUGCUCGAUAUAUUGCCUGAGUCGGAUUUGUCACCAUUUUCGCGAGUCCUGACUCGAUUUAGGUAUUGUGUAAGUUUAGAUUCGCUUGCAGUGAAGUUUAGUUCAAUCAGUUAGUCUUCGAAUAUUUGCGCAAUUAGAAAUAUUUUUUUUCCAUUAGUGAAAUAAAUCACACAAUGGAAGUAAUAAAAUGAAUAAUUUAUUGUAUCUGAUUUUGGGAUUGAAUGGAGUCCAUGGACCACAAUUCACAAGUUGAUCCUUGGCGUGUGCUUUAUGUAGCUAGAACUAUAAUUCACUUGAUGCUUCAUCUUCUCAUACGUAAGGUCUAAAACUCAUAAUCGUCGUCGGUUCCGCUGUAGUCGAGUCGAAUUGAUUAUGAUACUAUUAAAUCUUGGAGUUUCUCGCAGCUAAGCUUAAUUCAGUUUGGGUAUGGAUAGUUAGAUAACUAGUUUAAGUGUACUUAAUCACCUUUCUUUAAUAAAGUAAAUACUAGAUAAUUAAGAAAGAUUGGAUAAUGUUGAGUGAAGUCCAUGGAACGUCGACCUUGGUUAAUCCAUGGCACGCCUGUGAUGUUUGCCUGAAUGCAAGCUAGGAUGAGUUGCUUCUAAAUGAGUAACUCCAUUUUUACUCUAAAUUAGUAUGUUUAUCUAAUCAUCUUGUUAUAUGGUGGACUAGUAAGUACCUUAGGCAAUAAUUUAUUAAUCUAUAAUGUACUAUUGGAGCUUAUAAAACUAGUUAAAUUACUCUUAACUUUAAUCUAAGUCUUAGGUGGCUAUCACUGGUGAAUCUAAGUUUUAGUAAUUUCUUGGGAUGUACUGCCUUCUUGGUGCUUGUGCGAGACCUUAUUGAAUUAGAAAGUUAGUUAAAUGUGUUCUAUCACCUUUGCCAAGUUUUGAGUGUUAAAAAGUGACAGGUCUAAGUGUAGUAACCUAUCGAUGUUAUGCUUUAGCUUAAGGCUAAUUGUGUUAAAUGUGUUGUUUCUUGAUGUUGCGUUGGUUCAUUUAAUUUAGAGAACCGUAAUUAUUGUGUUUAAUCGUAUGUCGAUAACUAGUGUCUUCGUAGAAAGGGGUACGACGCUUCGCCGCUAGGUGUUUAAUUCGCUAUCGCAUAACACUAUUUAGGUUUGUAAUAUUCCUGUUUAUAUGCACUCAUGUGCAUCAUGCAUCUCAAUUAGGUACGAUAAUUGAUCGCGUGAUGCGGAAGACGAACCAAGUCGACCCCAAGCGCGGGCUACUCCGCAUGGAGAUGCUGAUGAACGAAUCUGCCUGAUCAAGUGCUAGGACAAGGAUGAUCGUUAAGUGGACGUCACCUAACAACACUAACCUAGUGUUACCCAGGCAAGCCCCGGUGCAUUUGCCACCUCCUUGUUGUUUUAAAACUUUUAUCACUUAUAUGCUGCAUUAGGUGAUAGGAGUUGAGUGAAGAAACAAUUGAUGCAUUGCCAUUCCUUGGAAUUCGAUUACUAUUCCUUGAUACCUGUUUUAUAAAGAGAACUAAUGAGGCUUAGCCCUGCUUAGAAACUAAAAGUUGUUUCUUUUAAAAAGAAUGUUGUGCAACACUGGAUAUGGGUUUUAUGAAAAAGGAACUUGUAAUAAUGAAGGCAUCACUCGCGAUGAUGAAUUCAUUAUUCGAGUAUUGUACCUCUGUCAGGUACAUGGUUUGGGUGUUAAAUAAUAAGAUGAGACCAGACGUUGAGCAGGAAAGGUCGCCCGUCUGUGUCGAUUAAGGACCGUUCCGAUUGUUGGCCUGCUGAUCUAGGACCCUUUAACUGGCCACAUGCCUCAUCAUGGGUAAGCUUAGCCUCGGCUGGACCAAUACCAGAAAGGUCGGCCCGCAAUGGGAGUGGAGAGAUGGCGAGAGUAUCGUGUAUCCACCUGGCAAGAGGCUGGAUGGUGGGGUACUGAGCUCUCGGUUGGCGGGGACCCGUUCUGGUCUUGAGAAACCCGGUGGCGAGUUGACAUAUGCAAGGGUUAAGUGCUACAUAUGUCGUGUGGUUGGAGAUCCCCAGCUGAGUAUUAAUCGAUUCGGAUCGCCGAACUUCUCGGAUAUGAAGACUGGAUCUUCGACCCUCAUCGUAGAUAACAAGUGAAACUAAAGCUGCUAAAAUGAAGCUAGUUUAGGACAAGUGAAUGCUCUAGAUUAGGCAAAUCUAGAUUCAGGAAAAGUACUUAAUCUAUGAAGUAAAACUUUGGCAUAAGGAUCCACUACUAAUAAGCUUUUCUGCAAAAACGAGUCUUUGAAAUUUGAUGAGCUUUAUCUUGAUUCCCAACAAACCAGCAUACCCUUGAGAGUCUUUUCUUUAGUCGGGUAAGUCUUGCUGAGUAAUUGCAUACUCAGGGUUUUAUUCCCUGUUUUUUUUCAGGUUAUAAUUUUGUUCUGUUGUGGAUGGUGCUAAGUGCCGGUGGGCUCGGCCUUCUUAUAUAAGUAUAUCCCAUCUUUAGCUUCUUUAUUGAGGAUUGUCACUUAAGCUAGCAUGUAUUUUAAAAACUUAUAAAUACUUUAUACAUUUUAAAGUGUAAUUCUGUUGAAUCAUUUUCUUUUGUAAUCACUCCAAUAAUUGUAUAAUGUAAACUUAUUGUAACAUGUAAUUAUUUUGCAAUAAAGAAUUUAUUUCCGCUGCAAAUAUUGGUGUGUGAUUUGUGUUUACUUAAUCUUGCGAUCUUGGCGGUAAGUCGUUUAUCCGGGGUCCUCGGGGCACUCGGACAGAUCCUGUUAAGUUGUUUGGUGCACACGCAUAGCUGUCUGAGGUUUUUGAGACAAGGACAGAUGCGUGUGGGCCCGAUAACUUGGGAGGUUCUGCGACAUUCUUCGAGCGACAUUUUGGUGUACCUGGGAUUCUCACGAAUGUUAUUCACCAAAUGAGGAUCAAGAACGGUAAAGGACCUUAGCAUCAAUCGGACUACGUCGUGGUCUGUCCAUCGCGUGCUUCCGGAGCUCCUUAUUUUGUUGAUAAGGGUCUUGAGCCGGUUGUAUGUUUGUGUCGGCUCCUCGCCCCUUAUCAUCGCGAAUCGUCCAAGCUCGCCCUCCACCAACUCCAUCUUGGUGAGCAAGGUCACGUCGUUCCCCUCAUGUGAAAUCUUGAGGGUGUCUCAGAUCUGCUUGGCGUUAUCCAAGCCGCUCACUUUGUGGUAUUCAUCCCU
Molecule: long non-coding RNA, 25604 nt
Filed under: Zea mays
Lineage: Eukaryota; Viridiplantae; Streptophyta; Magnoliopsida; Poales; Poaceae
Description: long non-coding RNA (ZMAY_LNC004953)
Source: RNAcentral